GUUUUUUAGGAAAUUUGUUCUUUUUAGGUAUAAAUGAUAAUGGAGUAUAUUUUGAGAUAUCAUACAUACAUGAAAUGUAACUUAUUCUAACUAGGAUCCUUUCCUUUUGGUUGUACAUGAUGUGGAGCUACACUGGUUGUGUGUUCAUGUAUAAGGAGAGGAAAGUUAUGCCUACUUCAUUGCACUGGCUUUCCUAUUUCCAUUUUUCUUCCUUCCCCUUUCUUCCCUUUUGUCUAAUGAAUGAACUUCGUUCUUCUUAUCUGCCCCACUCCUCGUGGCUUAGCAUCUACAUAUCAGAGAGAACAUUCGGCCUUGAGUUUUUGGGAUUGACUUAUUUCACUUCCUGAAACAUUCUUUAGUUCCAUCCACUUACCAGCAAUUCCAUAAUUCAUUCCUCUUUAUGGCUGAGGAAUAUCCAUUGUGUAUACAGACCACAUUUUUUUCUCCAUUCAUCUGUUGAAGGGCAGCUAGGUUGGUUCCAUAGCUUGGCUAUUGUAAAUUGAGCUGGUGUAAAUAUUGAUGUGAUUUUUGAAGGUGGAUUCUGUCUCCUGAACCUUGACUGAACUUGUAAAUUAGUCCUAACAGUUUUUAGUGGAGAUUGUAGCAUUUUCUAUGAAUAGGAAUUAUCGUCUGCCAACAGAGACAACUCUUUCUUCUUCUUUUUGGUUUGGAUGCCUGUCAUUUCUUUUUUCUGACUGACUCCUCCAGCUGGGACAUCCAGCACUAUUUGGAAAAGAAGUUGUUGAAGUGUAGGCAUCCUCACCUUGGCCCUGAUCUGUAGGUAUUGCUUUCAUUUUUGACUUGUUUGAUAUGGUAGGUCCCAUAUGACCUUUGUUGCCUUGUAGUCCAUUUCAUUUUUGCCAGAUUUUUGGAGGACAUCCAUCAUGCAAGAAUGUUGAAUCUUUUCAGAAUCAUUUUUCUACACCUAUUGAGAUAAUAUGAUUUUAUCUUUUAUUCUGUCAGCAUGGUUUAUCACAUGAAUUAUUUGUGUGUUUUGAAGCAUUCUUGCAUCCCUGGUAUAAAUCCCUCAUGAUCCUAGUGUAUGAUUCUUUGAAUGUGCUGUGAAUCAGUUUCCUUGUAUUUUGUUAAGUAUAUUUAUGUCUAAGGAGAUGACAGAUAUUGGCAUGUAGGUGUUGCUAUUGUUUU
RNAcentral lists this long non-coding RNA (1146 nucleotides) under Marmota monax (woodchuck). Lineage: Eukaryota; Metazoa; Chordata; Mammalia; Rodentia; Sciuridae. The record is from RNAcentral.